This 253-nucleotide ribosomal RNA is filed under the name uncultured bacterium. RNAcentral's name for it is "partial 16S ribosomal RNA". It matches the Rfam family "Bacterial small subunit ribosomal RNA", at positions 524 to 776 of the family's 1533-position model. The record is from RNAcentral.
UACGAAGGGGGCUAGCGUUGUUCGGAAUUACUGGGCGUAAAGCGCGCGCAGGCGGUUUCUCAAGUCAGUGGUGAAAGCCCGGAGCUCAACUCCGGAACUGCCAUUGAAACUGUGAAACUUGAGGACGAGAGAGGUGAGUGGAAUUCCCAGUGUAGAGGUGAAAUUCGUAGAUAUUGGGAAGAACACCAAUGGCGAAGGCAGCUCGCUGGGACGGUACUGACGCUGAGACGCGAAAGCGUGGGGAGCAAACAGG